UUCGGGGUACUCGAGCGGCGAACGGGUGAGUAACACGUGAGCAACCUGCCCCAGGCUUUGGGAUAACCCCGGGAAACCGGGGCUAAUACCGAAUAUUACUGCUGAUCGCAUGGUUGGUGGUGGAAAGUUUUUCGGCUUGGGAUGGGCUCGCGGCCUAUCAGCUUGUUGGUGGGGUGAUGGCCUACCAAGGCGACGACGGGUAGCCGGCCUGAGAGGGCGACCGGCCACACUGGGACUGAGACACGGCCCAGACUCCUACGGGAGGCAGCAGUGGGGAAUAUUGCACAAUGGGCGGAAGCCUGAUGCAGCGACGCCGCGUGAGGGAUGACGGCCUUCGGGUUGUAAACCUCUUUCAGCAGGGACGAAGCGCAAGUGACGGUACCUGCAGAAGAAGCACCGGCCAACUACGUGCCAGCAGCCGCGGUAAGACGUAGGGUGCGAGCGUUGUCCGGAUUUAUUGGGCGUAAAGAGCUCGUAGGCGGCUUGUCGCGUCGACUGUGAAAACCCGCAGCUCAACUGCGGGCUUGCAGUCGAUACGGGCAGGCUAGAGUUCGGUAGGGGAGACUGGAAUUCCUGGUGUAGCGGUGAAAUGCGCAGAUAUCAGGAGGAACACCGGUGGCGAAGGCGGGUCUCUGGGCCGAUACUGA
RNAcentral lists this ribosomal RNA (647 nucleotides) under Micromonospora sp. Y23. Its description in RNAcentral is "bacterial SSU rRNA". It matches the Rfam family "Bacterial small subunit ribosomal RNA", at positions 81 to 743 of the family's 1533-position model. The record is from RNAcentral. Lineage: Bacteria; Bacillati; Actinomycetota; Actinomycetes; Micromonosporales; Micromonosporaceae.